Non-coding RNA from Schistosoma rodhaini, 46 nucleotides. Lineage: Eukaryota; Metazoa; Platyhelminthes; Trematoda; Strigeidida; Schistosomatidae. The record is from Rfam.
GCACUGUUGACGAGUCCAAAAAUAGAACGAAACUGUCGUCCAGUGC